This 932-nucleotide ribosomal RNA is filed under the name Anisakis sp. SAN-2004. Its description in RNAcentral is "eukaryotic LSU rRNA". The stretch from base 423 to 576 matches the Rfam family "5.8S ribosomal RNA". Lineage: Eukaryota; Metazoa; Nematoda; Chromadorea; Rhabditida; Anisakidae. The record is from RNAcentral.
UCCGUAGGUGAACCUGCGGAAGGAUCAUUAUCGAGCGAAUCCAAAACGAACGAAAAAGUCUCCCAACGUGCAUACCUUCCAUUUGCAUGUUGUUGUGAGCCACAUGGAAACUCGUACACACGUGGUGGCAGCCGUCUGCUGUGCUUUUUUUAGGCAGACAAUGGCUUACGAGUGGCCGUGUGCUUGUUGAACAACGGUGACCAAUUUGGCGUCUACGCCGUAUCUAGCUUCUGCCUGGACCGUCAGUUGCGAUGAAAGAUGCGGAGAAAGUUCCUUUGUUUUGGCUGCUAAUCAUCAUUGAUGAGCAGUAGCUUAAGGCAGAGUUGAGCAGACUUAAUGAGCCACGCUAGGUGGCCGCCAAAACCCAAAACACAACCGGUCUAUUUGACAUUGUUAUUUCAUUGUAUGUGUUGAAAAUGUACAAAUCUUGGCGGUGGAUCACUCGGUUCGUGGAUCGAUGAAGAACGCAGCCAGCUGCGAUAAAUAGUGCGAAUUGCAGACACAUUGAGCACUAAGAAUUCGAACGCACAUUGCGCUAUCGGGUUCAUUCCCGAUGGCACGUCUGGCUGAGGGUCGAAUUACGGUGAACUGUCUUCACGGUUUUUUUGGACUGUGAAGCAUUCGGCAAGCAAUUGCUGUUGUGUUGUUGGUGAUUCUAUCAUGGACAAUAUGACGAGCGGUUCCUUGCUUAGUGAUGACAAAAGAAGACGUCAACACCGAAUCUACUAUACUACUAAUACUAGUAUAUAGGUGAGGUGCUUUUGGUGGUCACAAAAGUGACAAGUAUGCCAUUUCAUAGGGGCAACAACCAGCAUACGUGAUAAGUUGGCUGGUUGAUGAAACGGCAACGGAAUGACGGACGUCUAUGUGAUCAAAAAUGAUACUAUUUGACCUCAGCUCAGUCGUGAUUACCCGCUGAAUUUAAGCAUAUA